AUCGACACCAAGUUGCGCCGUCCAUUGCCUGCUCCGACCACCGCGUCGCGUCUCCUCCACCAUGUCAUUCUUGGUGACCAUCGCCCCAUCAAUCUCCGGAACCUUCCCCAGCUCUCUGCACGACCCAAGUCUGCAGCAGAUCUUGGUUUCUACUUCAUAUAAGAACACGGGUACAAGUUCCAUCUUGACAAAUACAUCACUACUUUACUAAGAAUCUAAUUUCUCUUCAUUUUGCUGGUUCUGUACU
This 247-nucleotide ribosomal RNA is filed under the name Triticum aestivum (bread wheat). RNAcentral's name for it is "partial small subunit ribosomal RNA". The record is from RNAcentral. Lineage: Eukaryota; Viridiplantae; Streptophyta; Magnoliopsida; Poales; Poaceae.